This 90-nucleotide transfer RNA is filed under the name bacterium. RNAcentral's name for it is "tRNA-Ser". It matches the Rfam family "tRNA". Rfam says of the family: Transfer RNA (tRNA) molecules are approximately 80 nucleotides in length. The record is from RNAcentral.
GGAGAGUUGCCGGAGCGGUCGAACGGGGCAGUCUUGAAAACUGCUGGGCCUUUACAGGUCCCGGGGGUUCGAAUCCCUCACUCUCCGCCA